This 241-nucleotide long non-coding RNA is filed under the name Elaeis guineensis (African oil palm). Its description in RNAcentral is "long non-coding RNA (EGUI_LNC046025)". Lineage: Eukaryota; Viridiplantae; Streptophyta; Magnoliopsida; Arecales; Arecaceae. The record is from RNAcentral.
UGCCCUCAUAUAUGCAUCUAUAACAAUAAAUAUUACAAGUUGAUUUUUAGUUAAAUAAGAUAUGAUGGUUGUUAUAAAUGAAGAAAAAUAAAAUAGAACAAUCUCAUGAUUAGUGAAAGAACUUCCAUAAUUCGCUUAAUUUAUUAUUUAAUCAUCGAAUCUAUCUCUUUUUUUAGCAAUAUUUUCAUAGAAAAUAUUGAGAAACAAGCACUAGACAAAUCUAAAUGUUAAAACAAGUUAG